RNAcentral lists this small RNA (28 nucleotides) under Bombyx mori (domestic silkworm). RNAcentral describes it as "ovarian small RNA-37020". The record is from RNAcentral. Lineage: Eukaryota; Metazoa; Arthropoda; Insecta; Lepidoptera; Bombycidae.
UUCAGAUUGAAGCAGUACAACUGUGCCA